Molecule: transfer RNA, 58 nt
Filed under: Erodium gruinum
Lineage: Eukaryota; Viridiplantae; Streptophyta; Magnoliopsida; Geraniales; Geraniaceae
Description: tRNA-Gly
Source: RNAcentral
CCCAGCUGGGGACUCUGAGAAAAGAUCUCCUUGCGGGGUUCGAUUCCCGCGAUCCGCC